CUACGAGUCGGGUUGUUUGG
Molecule: small nuclear RNA, 20 nt
Filed under: Arabidopsis thaliana (thale cress)
Lineage: Eukaryota; Viridiplantae; Streptophyta; Magnoliopsida; Brassicales; Brassicaceae
Description: snRNA_12762
Source: RNAcentral